AAUUAAUAUAACCAAGUAUGGUUGAGUCUUGGAGAUGAAUAGGUAACAAUUAUGCAUAUGGUCCCAGCAGCCGCGGUAAAACCAAUGAAGAGACGAGUGUUAUCCAGACCAGGCAUAAACAGUG
RNAcentral lists this ribosomal RNA (124 nucleotides) under Noctiluca scintillans. Its description in RNAcentral is "partial Bacterial small subunit ribosomal RNA". The record is from RNAcentral. Lineage: Eukaryota; Dinophyceae; Noctilucales; Noctilucaceae.